AGAGUUUGAUCCUGGCUCAGAGCGAACGCUGGCGGCGUGCUUAACACAUGCAAGUCGAACGAGUGUAGCAAUACAUUCGUGGCGAACGGGUGCGUAACACGUGGAUAACCUUCCUCCGGGUGGGGAAUAACUCCGCGAAAGCGGAGCUAAUACCGCAUAACAUCACGAUGGGACAUCCUGUUGUGAUCAAAGGAGCAAUU
Molecule: ribosomal RNA, 200 nt
Filed under: uncultured bacterium
Lineage: Bacteria
Description: partial 16S ribosomal RNA
Rfam family: Bacterial small subunit ribosomal RNA
Source: RNAcentral